Molecule: small RNA, 96 nt
Filed under: Providencia sp. JGM172
Lineage: Bacteria; Pseudomonadati; Pseudomonadota; Gammaproteobacteria; Enterobacterales; Morganellaceae
Description: partial RtT sRNA
Rfam family: RtT RNA
About the family: This family represents a bacterial cis-regulatory element known as RtT RNA. The exact function of RtT is unknown although it is thought that it may be involved in changing the cellular response in relation to amino acid starvation.
Source: RNAcentral
AUAUUGUACGUUGAGUGCAGGUGAGAAGCUGCGUUCAGGUUCGAGCCGAGCGAAGCGAGACAGCGUUGCGCUUGCCGCAACGACCCGAAGGGCGAG